CCUGCGUCCUAUCAGCUUGUUGGCAGGGUAAUGGCCUACCAAGGCUAUGACGGGUAGCCGGCCUGAGAGGGUGUCCGGCCACACUGGAACUGAGACACGGUCCAGACUCCUACGGGAGGCAGCAGUGGGGAAUUUUGCGCAAUGGGGGAAACCCUGACGCAGCGACGCCGCGUGGAGGAUGACGGCCUUCGGGUUGUAAACUCCUGUCAGAAGGGACGAAAUCCCGCAAGGGACUGACGGUACCUUCAGAGGAAGCCCCGGCUAACUACGUGCCAGCAGCCGCGGUAAUACGUAGGGGGCAAGCGUUGCUCGGAAUUACUGGGCGUAAAGGGUGAGUAGGCGGUCGAGCAAGUCAAGGAUGAAAUCCCGAGGCUCAACUUCGGAAUUGUUCUUGAAACUGUUCGGCUUGAGGAUAGUUGAGGAGAGUGGAAUUCCCGGUGGAGCGGUGAAAUGCGUAGAUAUCGGGAGGAACACCUGAGGCGAAGGCGGCUCUCUAAGCUACUCCUGACGCUGAAUCACGAAAGCUAGGGGAGCAAACGGGAUUAGAUACCCCGGUAGUCCUAGCCGUAAACGAUGGACACUGGAUAUUCCGGCAUUUCUGCUGGAGUGUCGUAGCUAACGCGUUAA
Molecule: ribosomal RNA, 627 nt
Filed under: uncultured bacterium
Lineage: Bacteria
Description: bacterial SSU rRNA
Rfam family: Bacterial small subunit ribosomal RNA
Source: RNAcentral